AGUGACAGGCUUAACACAUGCAAGUCGAGGGGCAGCACGGUGUAGCAAUACAUUGGUGGCGACCGGCGCACGGGUGAGUAACGCGUAUGCAACCUACCUAUCAGAGGGGAAUAACCCGGCGAAAGUCGGACUAAUACCGCAUAAAACAGGGGUUCCACAUGGAAAUAUUUGUUAAAGAUUUAUCGCUGAUAGAUGGGCAUGCGUUCCAUUAGAUAGUUGGUGAGGUAACGGCUCACCAAGUCCACGAUGGAUAGGGGUUCUGAGAGGAAGGUCCCCCACACUGGUACUGAGACACGGACCAGACUCCUACGGGAGGCAGCAGUGAGGAAUAUUGGUCAAUGGGCGAGAGCCUGAACCAGCCAAGUCGCGUGAAGGAUGAAGGAUCUAUGGUUUGUAAACUUCUUUUAUAUGGGAAUAAAGUGAGGAACGUGUUCCUUUUUGUAUGUACCAUAUGAAUAAGCAUCGGCUAACUCCGUGCCAGCAGCCGCGGUAAUACGGAGGAUGCGAGCGUUAUCCGGAUUUAUUGGGUUUAAAGGGUGCGUAGGUGGUUUUUUAAGUCAGCGGUGAAAGUUUGUGGCUCAACCAUAAAAUUGCCGUUGAAACUGGGGAACUUGAGUAUAUUUGAGGUAGGCGGAAUGCGUGGUGUAGCGGUGAAAUGCAUAGAUAUCACGCAGAACUCCGAUUGCGAAGGCAGCUUACUAAACUAUAACUGACACUGAAGCACGAAAGCGUGGGGAUCAAACAGGAUUAGAUACCCUGGUAGUCCACGCAGUAAACGAUGAUUACUAGCUGUUUGCGAUACACAGUAAGCGGCACAGCGAAAGCGUUAAGUAAUCCACCUGGGGAGUACGCCGGCAACGGUGAAACUCAAAGGAAUUGACGGGGGCCCGCACAAGCGGAGGAACAUGUGGUUUAAUUCGAUGAUACGCGAGGAACCUUACCCGGGUUUGAACGCAUUCGGACCGACUGUGAAAGCAGUCUUUCAGCAAUGACCGUUUGCGAGGUGCUGCAUGGUUGUCGUCAGCUCGUGCCGUGAGGUGUCGGCUUAAGUGCCAUAACGAGCGCAACCCUUAUCACUAGUUACUAACAGGUCAUGCUGAGGACUCUAGUGAGACUGCCAGCGUAAGCUGUGAGGAAGGUGGGGAUGACGUCAAAUCAGCACGGCCCUUACAUCCGGGGCGACACACGUGUUACAAUGGUGGGGACAAAGGGCAGCUACACAGCGAUGUGAUGCUAAUCUCCAAACCCCAUCUCAGUUCGGAUCGAAGUCUGCAACCCGACUUCGUGAAGCUGGAUUCGCUAGUAAUCGCGCAUCAGCCAUGGCGCGGUGAAUACGUUCCCGGGCCUUGUACACACCGCCCGUCAAGCCAUGGGAGUUGGGGGUACCUAAAGUCCGUAACCGUAAGGAUCGGCCUAGGGUAAAACCGAUGACUGGG
This 1436-nucleotide ribosomal RNA is filed under the name uncultured organism. RNAcentral describes it as "SSU rRNA". It matches the Rfam family "Bacterial small subunit ribosomal RNA". The record is from RNAcentral.